AAAUUUUUAGUUUAAAAAAAAAAAACAUUAAAUUGCAAAUUUAAAAAUAUUUUAUUAUAAAAUUUU
This 66-nucleotide transfer RNA is filed under the name Asobara japonica. Its description in RNAcentral is "tRNA-Cys". The record is from RNAcentral. Lineage: Eukaryota; Metazoa; Arthropoda; Insecta; Hymenoptera; Braconidae.